UACGUAGGGUGCGAGCGUUAAUCGGAAUUACUGGGCGUAAAGCGUGCGCAGGCGGUUUUGUAAGCCAGGUGUGAAAUCCCCGGGCUCAACCUGGGAAUGGCAUUUGGGACUGCAAGGCUGGAGUGCGGCAGAGGAGACUGGAAUCCCUGGUGUAGCAGUGAAAUGCGUAGAUAUCAGGAGGAACACCGAUGGCGAAGGCAGGUCUCUGGGCUGACACUGACGCUCAUGCACGAAAGCGUGGGGAGCAAACAGG
RNAcentral lists this ribosomal RNA (253 nucleotides) under uncultured bacterium. RNAcentral describes it as "partial 16S ribosomal RNA". It matches the Rfam family "Bacterial small subunit ribosomal RNA", at positions 524 to 776 of the family's 1533-position model. The record is from RNAcentral.